GAACAGAAUGGAUUCUACAUUAUGAUGCUAGAAGCACAAAAUUGAUAUCCAGAUAACACUGUUACAGCAGGACAGAAGCCUGCUGCCAGAAUUUGUGACUAAGGAACAUUUACCUCAAAGAUAAUCUAGCUAAAGACUUCGUAAAACUUCUCAAUGACAAGCAAACCCGAGUCAAUGGAUUCAAGGGGAUCCUUCCGGAGCCGAUGCCUCAAGCAGUUUGGAAUGACAGUAGCAAUGUCCUCCACUGUGACCUUGUCCCUUCCUUUCAAUGAGGCCAGCGCCUUGGCAGCCCUGUUUGUGACAAUAUCACCUCUGAGCCCAUCAACAUUCAACUCAGAGCACACCUUGGAUAUCUUGACACGGAGGUCAUGGUCGAUCUGCACGGCACCAAGGUUAGACCGAGCGGAUGAGAUCUGGUCCUGGAGCUUCUCCUGCUCCUCUUUGUAGGAGUCACGGAACGCCUUCGGGUCUCUGUCAAAGCGAGCCCUCUCUUCCACGAUUUUCACC
This 507-nucleotide long non-coding RNA is filed under the name Setaria italica (foxtail millet). RNAcentral describes it as "long non-coding RNA (SITA_LNC000548)". The record is from RNAcentral. Lineage: Eukaryota; Viridiplantae; Streptophyta; Magnoliopsida; Poales; Poaceae.